CCUACGGGUGGCAGCAGUGAGGAAUAUUGGUCAAUGGGAGCAAUCCUGAACCAGCCAAGCCGCGUGAGGGAGGACGGCCCUAUGGUUUGUAAACCUCUUUUGUCGGGGAACAAGGCCCGCCACGUGUGCCGGGAUGCGAGUAUCCGAAGGAAAAGCAUCGGCUAACGCCGUGCCAGCAGACGCGGGAAUACGGAGGAUGCGAGCGUUAUCCGGAUUUAUUGGGUUUAAAGGGUGCGUAGGCGGAACGUUAAGUCAGUGGUUAAAUUGCGGUGCUCAACACCGGCCUGCCGUUGAAACUGGUCGUCUUGAGUGGGCGAGAAGUAUGCGGAAUGCGUGGUGUAGCGGUGAAAUGCAUAGAUAUCACGCAGAACUCCGAUUGCGAAGGCAGCAUACCGGCGCUAAACUGACGCUGAGGCACGAAAGCGUGGGGAUCGAACAGGAUUAGAUACCCCUGUAGUC
This 459-nucleotide ribosomal RNA is filed under the name uncultured bacterium. RNAcentral describes it as "partial 16S ribosomal RNA". It matches the Rfam family "Bacterial small subunit ribosomal RNA", at positions 338 to 795 of the family's 1533-position model. The record is from RNAcentral.